AAUGAACAGGUCACUUUUGUGUGUGUCACUGUCUCUCUGGCAGCGAAUACUAGCUUUAUGGAAUCUUUUGCUGGGGAUUGAACCAGCAGACGCGGUGAUGGAGAGAUGAAAAGAGGAGGAGGGAGUGCGGAAGAGGAAAAGAUUGAAGAAGGGUAUGAAAGCCAGACUGCAAGGGGAGAUGAAAGGAGCUUCAGAAGGAAAAGAGACGAGUGAAAAUCAGAUAUUAGCUGGAAUACAGCCAUUUCUCCUCAGUGGACACAUUGAGAUGACCGGUUAACUUGCCACCAGUUCUCCAUCAGCCCUUCUCCUUUACUGCACAUUAAGGUGUGUGGUGUGAAGCUGGUGACAGAUGUGGCGUGUUGCAAUCAGCUGAUGAGGUGCAGUGAGCUGACUCCUGCCUGCUUUGCUGCCUGGGUUCCUUUUUCUACUGGGUCACUGCUCCACCAAGGUUUUCCCCUGGAGGAUAUUCACCUUUCGCCAGCUUCUCCCUGGAAACAACUACCCACACCUGGGACGAGUACACCUUGCCUCCACUGGGCUUACAGUUGCCAACUUGCCUUGUGUUGUUCAUCAGGAGUGAGUGCUGAAUGAAGGCAGACUAAAAGGACUGUUCCCUUGUUUUCAGCUGAGUUCUCUGGCCUGAGUAUCACCAGAGUAUUUGUUAAUGUUGUAAUACGUAGAAUUAUACAAUUGGUGUUCUGUGUUAAAGCCUGUUGUGUUUUUUGCUUAGCAUAAAUCUUUAGUCUGGCAGUUUGUUCAGGAUUAUCUGUAGUCUAGGCUGGGUUCGUUAUUUGAGUUAUCCUGCCUAGGUGUUACCUUAUGUGGGUUAACCUCAAUUUAUGUUUUCCAUAUUCUUGUAGUUACACCUCUAGUAGGUUCCUUGCACCGUAAUAUCUGUAGUUGGUUCAGGCAUCCCAUGUGACGCUACUCAGCCAAUGAAAUCUCUGCAUUGUAGCCACUAAGCAAGCUCAGCGUUCAGAAAACAGUUUAGAGGUGAAGGACAGACAAGAGGACAGAGUAAGACAAUGUGACACCAAGAAGAAAGUAGCCUUGCACAUGCUGAUUAUGUUUGGCUAAACAUACAGUUAUGAGGCAGUUUUCUCAACUAGGAAUAUAAUCCAAACUAAAUAUUGUACCAGACUGACCAGUGAGCUCCAAAUGUGUUUGAGAAUGACCCUGACACCGUUCAAAAUACUGGAGAAAGACCCAUCUCAGAGUGUAUCCUUCCGUUGUCUCCAGGAGAUCAGAUAUUCUGUAAAUAAGUUAGUGGCAUUUUGUAAUAAUGCCAGGCAGGGAGUGUAUUGUAACUUUCACUUAUUUGUUUGAACCACCAGGGCCUUUAGGAAUGUUGGAAUGUAUAUUUGUAGUGUUGUCGGUCUUAUUACAUUUACAAUCAUAGUCACGGUUUCAGGCUUUGGGGUAGCUUCAGGGUCAUUUAGCUUUAGCACCUUAUUGCUUACCAGUCACCUGCAGUGGUUUUCUUAUGUAAAUUAAUCCAUACUUACCUGUAAUACUGAUGUGUUUGAAGUCUUAAGCAAUUUGUACUGUUAUUGACAGUGUAUUCUGUAUGUUUAUUUCAGUUUCACACUUCUAUGUAUUAAAAUCCAUUCAACAACCA
This is a long non-coding RNA of Acanthochromis polyacanthus (spiny chromis), 1618 nucleotides long. RefSeq lists it as uncharacterized. NCBI's taxonomy places the organism in Eukaryota, Metazoa, Chordata, Actinopteri, Pomacentridae. The record is from RefSeq and is a predicted model, not a curated record. The transcript is spliced from 4 exons.